AGAUGGGCUUGAUCAAACUACAGGGCUCUUCAUGUGAUCUGUGUGUGAGAGAGAGAGAGGGAGAAAGAGCGUACCUUCAGAGAGAGGCCACGUCUCUUCUUUGCAAGGAGGAUGAAUAAGCUGCAACCUCCCCCCCUGCGGCUUCCCUCCCUGCUCUCUCUCCACCCCCAACCCCAGUUAUGGGUAUUGCAUUGCAUUGCACAACCCCGCCGCCCAAAGCUUGCUGCACCCUGAGGCGCUUUGCACUCACCGGAUUCCUUGCAGGACAAGGACAGUGCAGGACGGCAGAGGGGGCGGGUCAGCUGUUCUGCUUAAGCCGCGCCCCCUUUCCCAAGUCAGUAUCGAGCAGCAGCACCCUCCACUCUAGCAGCUUGCACUCUCUGGCUUUAACCCUUAAAGCACGGAGCAUCUGUUCCCUGUACUCGAAGCCAAGGUUCCCUCCCUUCUCUCCCCAUUGGCUGGGUACUGCAAGGCUUUCCCCUUACAAUUAUCCCCCGGAGAUAUCCUGCCUCCCAGGCGGGGGUUCCCAUUCCCGCCCGCGCUGCCCAGGGGCGCUGCUGCUGCCAGGAUUUCGGGUCAGGAAGACGAUGGUCAAGAUUCUACAGAGCCAUCUGUGAAUUCAUUGGGAAAAACAAAAAAACAGUUUAAAUGCAGGGAAUGUGGAAUGUGCUUUCGUCACUGUAGAAAAA
Molecule: non-coding RNA, 689 nt
Organism: Podarcis muralis (Common wall lizard)
Lineage: Eukaryota; Metazoa; Chordata; Lepidosauria; Squamata; Lacertidae
Source: RefSeq, a predicted model, not a curated record